RNAcentral lists this ribosomal RNA (497 nucleotides) under uncultured bacterium. Its description in RNAcentral is "bacterial SSU rRNA". It matches the Rfam family "Bacterial small subunit ribosomal RNA", at positions 15 to 507 of the family's 1533-position model. The record is from RNAcentral.
GAUCCUGGCUCAGAGUGAACGCUGGCGGCAGGCCUAACACAUGCAAGUCGAACGGCAGCACGGGGGCAACCCUGGUGGCGAGUGGCGGACGGGUGAGUAACACAUCGGAACGUGCCCUGGAGUGGGGGAUAACGCAGCGAAAGCUACGCUAAUACCGCAUAUUCUGUGAGCAGGAAAGCAGGGGAUCGCAAGACCUUGCGCUUUGGGAGCGGCCGAUGUCGGAUUAGCUAGUUGGUGGGGUAAAGGCUUACCAAGGCGACGAUCCGUAGCGGGUCUGAGAGGAUGAUCCGCCACACUGGGACUGAGACACGGCCCAGACUCCUACGGGAGGCAGCAGUGGGGAAUUUUGGACAAUGGGCGGAAGCCUGAUCCAGCCAUGCCGCGUGAGUGAAGAAGGCCUUCGGGUUGUAAAGCUCUUUCGGUGGGGAAGAAAUUGCUUGGGUUAAUACCCUGAGUAGAUGACGGUACCUGCACAAGAAGCACCGGCUAACUACGUG